This is a long non-coding RNA of Camelina sativa (false flax), 1241 nucleotides long. RefSeq lists it as uncharacterized. NCBI's taxonomy places the organism in Eukaryota, Viridiplantae, Streptophyta, Magnoliopsida, Brassicales, Brassicaceae. The record is from RefSeq and is a predicted model, not a curated record.
AAAUAUUUACUUUCCCGUUUCCCGUCCCCGUCCCCGUUUCCGUGCAGCAUAGGUUGUGGCUGGUGAUUUUACUGCUGAUAUGGGUCGCAGAUUUCUUCAUCUCCUUCUGUGAGAAACUGGAUGAAUCUUCCUCUACGAAGUGUUUGGCUAAGACACCAAAGAAAAAUAACAAAAUCACUAUGAUCCCACAAUUAUUGGAUAGAGGACUUGCAUAGGACAUGGAAAAUGGCGUUAGAGUCAAGGAUAUGAUGAUACUCUUCGAACCAACCUACUCGAAUUGGAUGACAAUGGUCUUAUUCUGGAAAUUGAAGUCGCACAACAAAUAACCAAACAUUUCUACUUAGAUAUAGGAAGCUGGUAUAUCCUCAUGAUAAUUUAGAAAUGUUUGUUUCUAAACACAAACCAGAGAUAGAGAAGUACAUCUCUUUCUAAGGUUAUUUUCUACGGUGUACAAGGAACAUUAUCCACUUGCUUUGGGUGAUGAGGUUUGGAGGCUGAAAAUAUUUGAAAGGACGUGACUUACCAUAAGAAACUUUAUAAAUUCAGAUAAGUUGUUAUUAAUUACUUCUUUUGCUUUGAACUUCUUGGAGAGUUAUCAAGUAUAUCAUCACCAUCACUUCUUUUUCUCCCUCUUACUACUACGUAACACAACUGUAUACAGUCUCAAUCCAUCACCAUAUAUGUUUAAGUUAAUAUAGAGACAAACUGUGUUGUGUAUAUAUGGUAUAUGAUAAUAUAAUUGGUGGGAAGCUGAAGCUACUUUGAGUGUGAAAGCAGGUGAAAUAAAGAAGAGAAUAAACAUAAGAACGGUCGUGUUGAACAAGCUCUUCAAGUUACUGAUCAUGAACUCAUAAAAGGGUAAACUAAUGAAAGUGUUACAAUUGGUCGAGUGUUUAGAGUGGAAGACAUAAUAAGAUUGACAAGAAACCAAGAAAUGAAUGCAGGUCAAGGCAUUGUACAUGAAAGAGAUUUUGAAGAGAUUUAACACAACAACGUCUAAAGAAAUUAUUUAAACAUCACGGGAAAACUAUACGAGUUUGUGCACUACGCAUACAUAGAGGACAAGCGUCAAAAGAGCCAUGAUGGGUUGCACUAAAAGAUGUGUGAUCGGUGGUAUGCUUCAUUUGAAUAAUCAUUUUUUGUAUACUCUCUUUCAUCAGUUUGUUUUUCUUUGUAUUCUUUUUUUCUAACUAACAGUAUCAAGAAUCAAGGUGUUAUGACUUCUUAAAUGUGUUUCUAAU